AUUGAACGCUGGCGGCAUGCUUUACACAUGCAAGUCGAACGGUAACAGGCCGCAAGGUGCUGACGAGUGGCGAACGGGUGAGUAAUGCAUCGGAACGUGCCCAGUCGUGGGGGAUAACUACUCGAAAGAGUAGCUAAUACCGCAUACGAUCUAUGGAUGAAAGCGGGGGACCGUAAGGCCUCGCGCGAUUGGAGCGGCCGAUGUCAGAUUAGGUAGUUGGGGGGGUAAAGGCUCACCAAGCCAACGAUCUGUAGCUGGUCUGAGAGGACGACCAGCCACACUGGGACUGAGACACGGCCCAGACUCCUACGGGAGGCAGCAGUGGGGAAUUUUGGACAAUGGGCGCAAGCCUGAUCCAGCAAUGCCGCGUGCAGGAAGAAGGCCUUCGGGUUGUAAACUGCUUUUGUACGGAACGAAACGGCUCUGGUUAAUACCCGGGGCUAAUGACGGUACCGUAAGAAUAAGCACCGGCUAACUACGUG
Molecule: ribosomal RNA, 482 nt
Filed under: uncultured bacterium
Lineage: Bacteria
Description: partial 16S ribosomal RNA
Rfam family: Bacterial small subunit ribosomal RNA
Source: RNAcentral